GUGAAUCAUCAAAUUUUUGAACGCAUAUUGCACUUUCUGGUAUUCCGGAAAGUAUGCCUGUUUGAGGGUCAGUUAAAUAAAAAUCGGUGUUGUUGCUACUUUUAGUGGUGAUGCAUCGGAAUUGAGUUGGCUUUACCUUUGGUUAAAGGGACUUAAAAUUAUGUACGAUUUUUGGACGGAUUUAAAUUGUUUACGUAUGUUCAUAAUAUCAUAUAUUAGGUGCGAGCAUUCUUAUGAUUUCGCGGCUAUAAUUUUUCAUUAUUAGACCUCAAAUCAGGGAAGAGUACCCCCUGAAU
RNAcentral lists this unclassified non-coding RNA (296 nucleotides) under Glomus sp. RNAcentral's name for it is "partial contains 5.8S ribosomal RNA and internal transcribed spacer 2". The stretch from base 1 to 71 matches the Rfam family "5.8S ribosomal RNA", at positions 84 to 154 of the family's 154-position model. The record is from RNAcentral. Lineage: Eukaryota; Fungi; Glomeromycota; Glomeromycetes; Glomerales; Glomeraceae.